Molecule: ribosomal RNA, 670 nt
Filed under: actinobacterium X24
Lineage: Bacteria; Bacillati; Actinomycetota; Actinomycetes
Description: bacterial SSU rRNA
Rfam family: Bacterial small subunit ribosomal RNA
Source: RNAcentral
GGGUCUAAUACCGGAUAGGACUGCGCGGUGCAUGCCGUGUGGUGGAAAGAUUUAUCGGUGCAGGAUGGGCCCGCGGCCUAUCAGCUUGUUGGUGGGGUAAUGGCCUACCAAGGCGACGACGGGUAGCCGGCCUGAGAGGGCGACCGGCCACACUGGGACUGAGACACGGCCCAGACUCCUACGGGAGGCAGCAGUGGGGAAUAUUGCACAAUGGGCGCAAGCCUGAUGCAGCGACGCCGCGUGAGGGAUGACGGCCUUCGGGUUGUAAACCUCUUUCAGCAGGGACGAAGCGUGAGUGACGGUACCUGCAGAAGAAGCACCGGCCAACUACGUGCCAGCAGCCGCGGUAAUACGUAGGGUGCAAGCGUUGUCCGGAAUUACUGGGCGUAAAGAGCUCGUAGGCGGUUUGUCGCGUCGUCUGUGAAAACCAGCAGCUCAACUGUUGGCUUGCAGGCGAUACGGGCAGACUUGAGUAUUUCAGGGGAGACUGGAAUUCCUGGUGUAGCGGUGAAAUGCGCAGAUAUCAGGAGGAACACCGGUGGCGAAGGCGGGUCUCUGGGAAAUAACUGACGCUGAGGAGCGAAAGCGUGGGUAGCGAACAGGAUUAGAUACCCUGGUAGUCCACGCCGUAAACGGUGGGCGCUAGGUGUGGGUUUCCUUCCACGGGAUC